CACUAUGCUCAGCCCUAAAAUUUGAUAGGUCCUUACACACCUAUCCGCCUGGGAACUACGAGCAUCAGCUUAAAACCCAAAGGACUUGGCGGUGCUUCAUAUCCGUCUAGAGGAGCCUGUUCUAUAACCGAUAACCCCCGUUAAACCUCACCCUCUCUUGUCAAUACCGCCUAUAUACCGCCGUCGUCAGCCCACCCUGUGAGGGACCAGAAGUGAGCGAGAUUGGUAAAACCCAAAACGUCAGGUCGAGGUGUAGCGUAUGAGAGGGGAAGAAAUGGGCUACAUUUCCUAAUUUAGGAAAUACGAACAAUGUACUGAAAUAAACAUUAGAAGGUGGAUUUAGCAGUAAGCAGAUAAACAGAGAGUUCUGCUGAAGAUUUACGGCACUAAAGCACGCACAUAUCGCCCGUCACUCUCCCCGAACCUGCACAAAUGAACUUUACCUAAAAAGCUAUGCUUUCAAAGGGGAGGCAAGUCGUAA
Molecule: ribosomal RNA, 481 nt
Filed under: Neopomacentrus cyanomos (regal demoiselle)
Lineage: Eukaryota; Metazoa; Chordata; Actinopteri; Pomacentridae
Description: partial small subunit ribosomal RNA
Rfam family: Bacterial small subunit ribosomal RNA
Source: RNAcentral